AAGUCGUAACAAGGUUUCCGUAGGUGAACCUGCGGAAGGAUCAUUAAUGAUUGACCGAGAGGUCUUAUCUUAAACAUCCCUCACCUCUGUGAACCGUUUGACCUCUGGGUCUAACAACAUCUAUACAAACAUCAGUGUAAUGAACGUCUUGUUAUAUUAACAGAAACAAAACUUUCAACAACGGAUCUCUUGGCUCUC
This 198-nucleotide unclassified non-coding RNA is filed under the name Papiliotrema sp. RNAcentral's name for it is "partial internal transcribed spacer region". The stretch from base 1 to 46 matches the Rfam family "Eukaryotic small subunit ribosomal RNA", at positions 1786 to 1831 of the family's 1831-position model. Lineage: Eukaryota; Fungi; Basidiomycota; Tremellomycetes; Tremellales; Rhynchogastremaceae. The record is from RNAcentral.